UACGGGGGAUGCAAGUGUUAUCCGGAAUAAUUGGGCGUAAAGCGUCUGUAGGUGGUUGACCAAGUCUGUUGUUAAAAAUCAGGGCUUAACCCUGAUCCGGCAACAGAAACUAGUAAACUUGAGUACGGUAGGGGCAGAGGGAAUUCUCGGUGUAGUGGUGAAAUACGUAGAUAUCGAGAAGAACACCAAUAGCGAAAGCACUCUGCUGGGCCGAAACUGACAUUGAGAGACGAAAGCUAGGGGAGCAAAAGGG
Molecule: ribosomal RNA, 253 nt
Filed under: uncultured bacterium
Lineage: Bacteria
Also listed under: 1 other name
Description: partial 16S ribosomal RNA
Rfam family: Bacterial small subunit ribosomal RNA
Source: RNAcentral